AAGCACCUACGGGAGGCAGCAGUGGGGAAUAUUGGACAAUGGGGGGAACCCUGAUCCAGCGACGCCGCGUGAGUGAAGAAGUAUUUCGGUAUGUAAAGCUCUAUCAGCAGGGAAGAAAAUGACGGUACCUGACUAAGAAGCCCCGGCUAACUACGUGCCAGCAGCCGCGGUAAUACGUAGGGGGCAAGCGUUAUCCGGAUUUACUGGGUGUAAAGGGAGCGUAGACGGGGCAGCAAGCCUGAUGUGAUAGGUCGGGGCCCAACCCCGGUACUGCAU
Molecule: ribosomal RNA, 276 nt
Filed under: uncultured bacterium
Lineage: Bacteria
Description: partial 16S ribosomal RNA
Rfam family: Bacterial small subunit ribosomal RNA
Source: RNAcentral